Molecule: non-coding RNA, 29 nt
Filed under: Mus musculus (house mouse)
Lineage: Eukaryota; Metazoa; Chordata; Mammalia; Rodentia; Muridae
Source: RNAcentral
UACAGAUUAAUUGAUGACAAAGCAGAGAC